This 105-nucleotide ribosomal RNA is filed under the name Feifania hominis. RNAcentral describes it as "Clostridiales bacterium BX7 partial 16S ribosomal RNA". It matches the Rfam family "Bacterial small subunit ribosomal RNA", at positions 1438 to 1533 of the family's 1533-position model. The record is from RNAcentral. Lineage: Bacteria; Bacillati; Bacillota; Clostridia; Eubacteriales; Feifaniaceae.
ACCGCAAGGGGGGCGCUGCCGAAGGUGGGUCUAGCGAUUGGGGUGAAGUCGUAACAAGGUAGCCGUAUCGGAAGGUGCGGCUGGAUCACCUCCUUUCUAAGGAGA